RNAcentral lists this long non-coding RNA (217 nucleotides) under Gossypium barbadense (sea-island cotton). RNAcentral describes it as "long non-coding RNA (GBAR_LNC008384)". The record is from RNAcentral. Lineage: Eukaryota; Viridiplantae; Streptophyta; Magnoliopsida; Malvales; Malvaceae.
AAGCACCCCACCUCGGUUACUCAGCCUAACACACUCCUAAUUUUUAUUUUUCUUAAGAACAUAUCGAACCUUUUGGCGCGAAGAGAGAUGACAGCCAAGCACCUCACGCCGGUUAUUCAGCCCAACAUAUUCUUAAAAAUUAAUUCCGGUUAGCGAAGUUUUACCUAGCACGUCACACAACCUUUUGAGGCGAAAUAGGAUGACAACCCAAGCACCC